Non-coding RNA from Populus trichocarpa (black cottonwood), 130 nucleotides. Lineage: Eukaryota; Viridiplantae; Streptophyta; Magnoliopsida; Malpighiales; Salicaceae. The record is from Rfam.
UUGUUAAUAGAAAGGAGAGAUGGUUGGCAUCUCCCUUGACAAGGAUGGGAUCAGCCUUUUGGCUUCCCUGUUACCACAUAUCUGGUUAAAACUCUCCACUUUAUAGGUGGAUCUAUAACCUAAUUUUAAU